UGUGACCUCAAAUCAGGUAGGACUACCCGCUGAACUUA
This 38-nucleotide ribosomal RNA is filed under the name Cortinarius croceoconus. Its description in RNAcentral is "partial 28S ribosomal RNA". RNAcentral also lists the same sequence under 4 other names. The record is from RNAcentral. Lineage: Eukaryota; Fungi; Basidiomycota; Agaricomycetes; Agaricales; Cortinariaceae.